RNAcentral lists this ribosomal RNA (505 nucleotides) under uncultured bacterium. RNAcentral describes it as "bacterial SSU rRNA". It matches the Rfam family "Bacterial small subunit ribosomal RNA", at positions 28 to 526 of the family's 1533-position model. The record is from RNAcentral.
GACGAACGCUGGCGGCGUGGAUUAGGCAUGCAAGUCGAACGGUAUCAUCCUUUCGGGGGUGAGAGAGUGGCGAACUGGUGAGUAACACGUAGGUUAUCUACCCUCAAGACGGGGACAACCCAGGGAAACUUGGGCUAAUACCGGAUGUGAGCAACUUUUAGUUGUUUGAAAGGUGGCGUAAGCUGUCGCUUGGGGAUGAGCCUGCGUCCUAUUAGUUAGUUGGUGAGGUAACGGCUCACCUAGGCAACGAUAGGUAGGCGGCCUUAACGGGUGGUCGCCCACACUGGGAUUGAGAUACGGCCCAGACUCCUACGGGAGGCAGCAGUCGAGAAUAGUCUACAAUGGUCGGAAGACUGAUAGUGCGACGCCGCGUGAACGAUGAAUCCCUUCGGGUGUAAAGUUCUUUUAUAUGUGAGCAGUGCUUCUUAUAUUAACAGUAUGGGGAGAGAGAUAUUAGCAUAUGAAUAAGCAACGGCUAACUCCGUGCCAGCAGCCGCGGUAAUCU